GACGAACGCUGGCGGCGUGGAUUAGGCAUGCAAGUCGGACGGUAGGGCUUUAUCGUAAGAUAGAGUUUGAGAGUGGCGAACGGGUGAGUAACACGUAGGAAUCUACCCUUAAGACGGGGACAACCCAGGGAAACUUGGGCUAAUACCGGAUGAGAGUGCGAGAGAUUGCAUUUAAAAGGAUGGCGAAAGUUGUCGCUUAGGGAUGAGCCUGCGGUCUAUUAGUUAGUUGGUGAGGUAAGAGCUCACCAAGCCGAUGACGGGUAGCCGGCCUGAGAGGGUGACCGGCCCGAGGGGCACUGAGAUACGGGUCCCACUCCUACGGGAGGCAGCAGGCUAGAAAUUUGGGCAAUGGGGGAAACCCUGACCCAGUGACGCCGCGUGCAGGAAGGAGCCCUUCGGGGUGUAAACUGCUGUCGUGUAGGGAGAAGGGUACUAAGGUGAACAAUCUUAGUACUUGACGGUACUACAGGAGGAAGCCAGGCUAACCUCGUGCCAGCAGCCGCGGUAAGCUACGUAGA
Molecule: ribosomal RNA, 518 nt
Filed under: uncultured bacterium
Lineage: Bacteria
Description: bacterial SSU rRNA
Rfam family: Bacterial small subunit ribosomal RNA
Source: RNAcentral